GGAGGAGAGGAGAGCCUGCGCCGGCGGAGGGAGGAGGGGAGAGCCGGCGCCGCUCAUCGUCGUCCCCGCGCUCCGCGCCGCCGCCGCCGCUCGGCCCGGAGGAGAGGAGAGCCUGCGCCGGCGGAGGGAGGAGGGGAGAGCCAGCGCCGCUCGUCGUUGUCCCCGCUCUCUGCUCCGCGUCACCGACCUCGGUCACCGGGAAGCUCGUCGCCGCACCGCUUCGAUCUGCGCCGCCACCACUGUCCUCGUCAGAGAAGCUUGCCGGCUCGAUGGGGAAAGCGCGGAGAAGGAGAGGAGCUCGAGGUCGAGGCCGCGUCCGAGCUCGCCGGCGUCCUUACCUUCUUGCCCGCCGUCGUCGCCCCUUGCCGCUUGCGGUCUUGAUCCGUGGAAUGCGAGGAGAUAGGAUAGAGAGAGAGGGAGAAGGAGAGAUGGACGUGAAAAGAGAGAUGGGUGGGACCUACUAACAUGGGUGGGACCCACUAACAUGUAUAUUGCCUGCACUGUGAAAUCCGGUUCUUUGUCUAGCUGGAGGGGUUGAGCUACUCAUGUGCGUUUCCCGCACUGCUACUGGCCUUAUGAGACACUAUUCUCUCCCCAUACAAACUUGAUAGUAUCUAGUGCAUAGGUUCUCGUGUUAAAGCUGUGUCUUGCAUGAGAUCUAGUUUCUUCCUCUCUUCACACUCUCUCUUAAUUAAUAUAGUGUCACAUAAGCUAAAAGUGCUACAUGACAAUAUAGUUAAUGCUAUAGACACCAUUCUAGUUGGAGGGUUGGGACUGCCCUUAGAAUAGAUUUACUGGUGUGCAGCUUUUGUUUCAUAAUAACUCAAAGUCGUGCCAAUAUCACAAGCAAAACGAAACGACUCAUCAUUACGUGAUUAGUUUAGUACAGUAUGAACUAUUUUUUUUAAAAAAUAGAUUAAUAUGUUUUUUAAGCAACUUUUAUAUAGAAAAUUUUUACAAUAAAUACUACUCCUACCAUUUUGUAAUUUGAAAAUCGUGUGCGCGUUGAGAACUCUCAACAAAGAAUACAGCAUUUUUGCUCCACAAAUGAUGACUUAGUAAUAUGUAAAGCAUUUUAUGGUAUCUUCUCGUUGACUUUGUAAAGCAAUUAAAGCAGUCCUAUAAAAUCUUAUUCACCUUCCCAACAUAAUAAUGUACUUCCUCCAUUCUAAAAUAAGCGCAGGCAUAAGUUUCCGUGUCUAACUAAAAUAAAGUUAGACACGGAAACUCAUGGUUAUGCUUAUCGUGAGACAGGGGGAGUAUUAACUCAAUGUAAAGUGUUGACUAUGAGUAUGAUGCGUGAUCAACUUCAUUUUUUAUUCCGCACCAAAAAAACACUUCAUUUAUAAGUAUCAAGGAUAAAACUGUUUCAUUUUUUUUCCCAACUUGCAAUGACACACAUGCACAUAUCACAACACACAUCAUAAGCAUUCAUCGAUAAAUGCAUCCCCUGGUUAGCUGCAAACCCAUGUCUUCAUUAAAUUUCUAGUGAAAAAUAUAAAUAUUUGUGCCACUUGGGAGGUGCCAUAUGCGGUCAACACACAAAUUCAUUACCACCUUUAUCGUGUACUCCCAAAAUUAUUUGAUUUUAUUAAUUAAUAGUUAAAAACAAAAUUAAUCAUUACAAAAUUAUAUGUAGACAUGUUCUAAUACAUUUUAUAUUAAUUUAUGUUUUAUUAAGUUAAUAAUUUAAAAUAUAUAAAUAAAAACUGUAAUACUGUCUCAAAUUGGAAUUUCACUUUAUUAUUUUAUUGGUUAAAUAAUUUUAAAAUUAAAACGUAAUAAGUAUUAUUUGGUCAAAGACUUUGUAAUCGAUAAUGCAAGUGUGCUGCCUGUGGUGGAAUUUCAAAUUAGUGUUUUUAUUUAAUGGUUCCAAAUUCAAGUUUCCGUGUUUUGUAUAUCAUGGAUUUAUUUACUUUAAUUUGAUUAAACCGUUAUAAUUCAGCGCUAGCUCCAUUCAAAUGCAUAGUGAUACACAUUUCUUUGAUUACUCCAAAGUCGAGAGUACUAAUUGUUUUAAUAAUUAAUAUAUGGAACAUAAGUGAAUGACCACGUUGACCGUUUUUUAUACAGUGCACUACAUUUUUUGUUAUAUUUGCACACUUUUGGUCAGUUGUUUUUUCCUCAUAGAUUAUAUUGCUGAUUAUCACAAACACAUUUCACAAGCUUACAAAUAAUUUGAUUUUUAUAAAUAGAAAAAGAUUGUAUAUAAGUUUCAUAUAAUGCUAUUUUAAAUAUCUAUUCAACUUUGUAUGUACUAGUUUUUUUUCUUUUGGGAAAUUAUAAAUACCACAUCAUAAAUCACUUCAAGUUUGAUAUUCCACCCCAUAAGUUAUUUUGUUGCAAAUGUCCAUCCAUAUACUCAAUUUUGUUAAAAAAACACCCAGUGUGUGUAUAUAUAACCAAAUCAACAUGUUAUUCAUAAAGUGUGAGCCAUCGAUGUGGUUUUUACUAAAAUUAAAUACUUUCAUAGUAUAGUCUUGACACUUUUUUCAAUAUUUCACAAAUAGAAUUACUGAUGAAACCUUAAACAUUAUUGUACUGAGUUUCGCUAUAUGAAAAAAAAAAUCCAAUCAAUCACGAAAAAUAAGUCUAAGCAAGUACUUAUAUAAGAUUGACUCGACUAACUUAACAUGUGAUGACUCUACAUAAGCGGUAACGGGCUAAUUCGGUUAAGCAUCUACGCGCUACGGUGGUUUUGCAACAAAACGGGCUAAUUCGGUUAAGCAUCUACUCACUACGGUGGUUUUGCAACAAAACUUAUUAGGAGUGAAUAUUUGUAAUCAAAUGACUUGUGAGAUGGAAUAUUAAACUUUAAGUGUUUUAUGGGUUGGUUAUUGUAAUUUUCUUUUUCCUUUUUUAAGAUAAUCCUGGUAAUUGUGGAUUUCUGUGUCUGUACCCUUGAAAUAUUAAUCAGACAAUAAAAAGGUUUUCUUCCUGGCAAACCAUGUGGCACGUGGCUACUACGUGUCGUCAAAAUGUGCAACACGUUGCUCUUAGGCACCGGAAGCGGGAAAAAAAAAGGAUAAACGACAAGGGCUACGAGAAAAAGGCCUUGUUUUGCAGUCUCCAAAGUGUGGCCACUUUGACCGGGAGGCCAGGGCCGUGAACAUUUUGGGCCGCACCCUCUCCAACCCCUCUUUCUCGUUUUCCACGCGUACGUUUUUUAAACUGCUAAAUGGUAUAUUUUUUUCAAAAAGUUUCUAUAUAAAAGUUGUUUAAAAAAAUCAUAUUGAUUUAUUUUUAAAAAUAAAAUAGUUAAUACUUAAUUAACCACAUGCUAAUAGACUGCUCUGUUUUCCAUGCUGGAGGGUAGUGUUUCCAACCACGAGGAAAGAACACAACCUAAUUAGUGAGGAUCGAGAUAAAUCAGGUGCCUCUAGAAAAGGAAAGGGUCCACUUUCGGUCGCUCAACUAUGUGCCGAUUCCCGUUCCUUAACCAGUGUAAAUCAAAUCCCUCAGUAAUAUUAAAUAUAUCUAUCAACAUUUAAAACCAGUGUAAAUCAAAUCCCCUAAUAAUAUUAAAAACGGUUUUUAUUGAUGUAGCAUCUACGUGGCUCGUUGAUAUAGUCUUAGCAGUCUAUGUAGCGCUUACGUGGCACUAGAAACAAAAAUAAAAAUAAAAAUACCAGUGGGACCCACAUGCCAGUGGCAGACCGAAUAGCAAAACGUUAAACAAUAGGCCUACACAUCGGGACAACGACGACGACGACGGCGUGCACUCAUUGAAGCCAGAGGACGGCCGCACCACGCCUCGUUACCUCCAGGGCGACGACGUUUAAUGGAUGGAGGAGGCAGAGCUCGGUACAACAGACGGUGUGGGCGAUGGUCGAAGCAGAGGAAGAGGAGGGGGAGGACAGAAUCAUGGAUCUCCUCUCCGUGUUCGUGCGCCUCAAUGAGCUCUAAAAAAAUAGGAACCAACGCCUCCACGGGUCUGGUCCAAUUAAAAGACCAUCUGUGUAAUCAAACUGGUGUAAACCGACUAGACUACCCUAUGAAAAUCGACUCCGACCACCAAGCGCCUAUGAAAACCGGCUCCAAAAAUCGGGUUGAACUGACAAAGGCUUGCAUGGAUGACCGAAUAGUAGACAGAAAAUAAGAGAAAAUGGUCCGAGUGGGGAUUCAAACCCUGGUUCUCAGGCAUACAGGCAAGGAAACCUACCUCCAGGCUAUGCUCCUCAUGAUUGAAUGGAAUCAGUUAUUUAUUUAUGGGUUAUUGAACUGCUUUGGACUAGUGGUCACCGGUGAACAAAUGAAACUAUGACCAAGUUGGUUUAAUUGCCAGUCCAGUUUCAAUAACUAUGGUAGCAGCAAUGCAAGCUCCAGGUCCAUCUCUACCUCCCGACUACUUCCUCGGAGCACAUAAAAUUUCUCCUAGAUCUGGCGCACCCCCAUCGAUGCCACGUCAGGUCCACUAUUCCUUCCUUAAAUAGACUGUCGAGCUGUGCGGCCCGGAGGAAUCACCGGAUCGGCUCUAGCAGCGGGUGCUAGAUCCCCUCUUCCACUUUGCUAUGGAGCUCGAGCCACCCGUUGUUUUUGGUGCCGUAGAGAUGGACAUAACCUUGGAGCCGCACAUGAGGCCAGCACGCCAUAGUGCCUCAAGGUCGACGGGGCUUGCUAGCCGCUGCCUGCGAGCGUCCCUUCCGCCGUCCGGCGCAUUGCCAUUCUAUGGCACCGCCACUUGAUGGGCUGGCCACCGAGAGUUUCAAGCUUCUCGCACGCUCGGUGGAGGAGAUAGUGGAGUUGAAGGACUCCUCAAGCUCCUGGGUUGACUGCCCGUCGACCUCCUGUACCGCCGCUACCGCCGUGGCUCUCGGAGCUCCCACUGUUGCCGCUGCCGUAGGGAGAGAAGAGAUAGAGAGGAGAGGGUGAAGAGAGAAAGGGUAGGAUGAAGGGAGAAUGUGAGUUGCAUGGCGCAUACAUGUGGGUCCCAGAUGUUCUCAAUGCGUUUUUUAUUUUUACUAAUCUAGAGCUCGUGCAUGGCAACUGAAAACAAAUUGAGUUUGUAGCUUAUUAAAUCAAUUAAUACGCACUUAUUUAAUCUAAGUAAUACUAUGGCUUUUAAUUUUUGAUUGAACAAGUAGGUGAUUUUGAAAUUUGGGAAGAGCCAAUAGUGAAAUGGGGGGAGGACUUUUUUUUGGAGAGAAAUGGGAGAGGAGUUGUUGAAAGGUGGUGUAAUAUAAUAGGUUGCGGGGCCUAAAUAUUAGUGACGAGGGUGAUGUGGGAUGGACACCACCACUAUUACCAUUUUAAGUAGUAUAGAUUUUUUGCUGACUAGGUUACCACGUAGGCUAGAAGCCACUCUCAAUACCACCAAGGGACUUAGAUUUACACUGGUUUUAGAAGUUGAAGGAUGUGACCUGGUUUUGUGGUUGAAGGACACGAAUAAAACUCGAUCCAUAUUUGAAGGGACCUAAAGUGAACUUUUUCUUUAGAAAAUCACAUAGUCCACAUAUCUAGCCAAGCCCAUUAAGGGUCCGGUGAGAUUGUAAUCAAUUCCAUUGCCCAAACACCAUUAUGGCCCAUAGGCCUGAAGCACAAAAGAUCUUCGAGCUUGCCUGCCUUGCCAGGCCUAGGAUACUGUAUAUUGGGCCUCAUUUCUUCUGUUUCCGAAAGAAAUGCUACCUCCUUCUCC
RNAcentral lists this long non-coding RNA (5635 nucleotides) under Oryza sativa (Asian cultivated rice). Its description in RNAcentral is "long non-coding RNA (OSAT_LNC001737)". Lineage: Eukaryota; Viridiplantae; Streptophyta; Magnoliopsida; Poales; Poaceae. The record is from RNAcentral.